UGUCGCUCGGUGCGGUUCCCUUCGUUGGCAAGUUUGCAGUUAUGUUCCUAUUUAUUCAAUGUGAGAACGAAUCGGAAAAGCAUGUCGUCGAGCACAAUACAAUUGUGACCUUCCACGCAAUAGAAUACUACGACAAACGAAAGUUUUUCGGGGCAUUUUGGAAUGCGACGAGACGACACAUGUUACACGACAGAAAAAAGGCAGGAUGAAUGAGCGGCGCUGAAGCAGAUGUAAAGUGGAUCACGAGCCACUUGCAGAAGAAAAAAAGAUAAGUACCGGCACUUCUAUUGCACCACGAAAUGAAUUAUUCUGGUGUUCUAGUGACUGAUUAGAAGUGAAUAGGGGUCACAGAUUUCGCUCGUCGCACGGUGUACACCAGUAUUCGGUGAUCGAAACAUGUCGUCUUUGCGGCUUUUAGGCAAGGCAGGAGAAACAAGCACUGCACGAAGGCAUGCAGAAGAAGACACUGUUUCUGCCCCUGGAUUCCGCGAAAAUCAGUGAACAAAGACCACGAGAGUUCGAAAUAAAAAGAAGACAUGGGUCGUUUACAGACAGAAGUGCAACGCUGGCGCAAAUUAAUCAUAUGCUGCAAAAGGCCAUCGCUUCAAAAGUUUUUCAAAGUGAUUCCGAUAAGACCUGAUUGAGCACCUCUCCACUCCCAGUCCCUCUAGCAGCCAUGGCAAAAGCUGUACCAGAUGAUUGUAAUGUCCUCACAUUUUUAUAAUUUUGUUUAUUAUCAAGGUCUAGCUUUUUUCCUGGUUUGCA
Molecule: long non-coding RNA, 765 nt
Organism: Ornithodoros turicata
Lineage: Eukaryota; Metazoa; Arthropoda; Arachnida; Ixodida; Argasidae
Exons: 3
Source: RefSeq, a predicted model, not a curated record